RNAcentral lists this unclassified non-coding RNA (273 nucleotides) under Hevea brasiliensis (rubber tree). Lineage: Eukaryota; Viridiplantae; Streptophyta; Magnoliopsida; Malpighiales; Euphorbiaceae. The record is from RNAcentral.
UAGGGCCUUCCUCUUCAGGUCCCUUAAUGACCAAGGAAUGCAAUUUAAUGACUUGAUUAAAAGGUAUGUAUAUCAAAAGCUGCUCAUCUGCAUCACUCUCCAAAAGCAAGCUAUCAUUAUCCCUACAAGUCUGGUUAAGAGCAUUUGUAAAAGUGUGGCUGAAAUUCUGGUUAAGGCACUCGACACCAGACCAGUUAAUGAAGUCAGACAGAUCAACCUGAGUCCGAUGAAUAGAGGUGGCAGAUGCGGCAGCCAUAGCAAAUCGAACGAGAA